UACAGAGGUCCCAAGCGUUGUUCGGAUUCAUUGGGCGUAAAGGGUGCGUAGGUGGCGCCGUAAGUCGGGUGUGAAAUUUCGGAGCUUAACUCCGAAACUGCAUUCGAUACUGCGGUGCUUGAGGACUGGAGAGGAGACUGGAAUUCAUGGUGUAGCAGUGAAAUGCGUAGAGAUCUGCAGGAACAUCAGAGGCGAAGGCGACCACCUGGCCGAUUACUGACGCUGGGGAACGAAAGCGUGGGGAGCAAACAGG
Molecule: ribosomal RNA, 253 nt
Filed under: uncultured bacterium
Lineage: Bacteria
Description: partial 16S ribosomal RNA
Rfam family: Bacterial small subunit ribosomal RNA
Source: RNAcentral